UUAAAAUUUCUAGUUCCGUAAUAGAAAAGCUGUUAAUUACUUUUGCGCGCUCUUGGGAAUCAUGACAAAGUACUCUACGAAUUCAUGUUUAGAAUAUGAUUUCUAACCUCUUUGUUGCCGUGUGAGUAUAGGUGCCUAAAUUAUACUUUCACCCACGUGAUACAGAAAGAAUUAGAAGUGUUACUUACUAGAGAAACUUUCAAUAAACAUUUAGCAAUGGUAGUAUUUCAUAAAUGUCUAAAUCGACCUGCAGUUAAUGUUGAGUGCAAUAGGCUCUCCGUAAUUCCGCAGAUGCUUUGUUAGUUUGAGUGAGUUACGCGCUACUCGGUGCUGUUGAUUUGCAAGUGUUAAGGUGUACCUUCCCCAUCAAAACCUUUCAUUACCGGAUAAAAUCCCAGUUGUACUCAAUGCUUGAAACAUAAGUAAACUGCCAGGAAAUAUGGCCUUACAUCUGUACAUAACCGGUUAGCAUCAUAUCCGCAGUAGCUUAGAUCACUGUUAAUGAUUCCUGUGUCAAAUCAACAAACAGUGAAACAGAAAGAGCAAAAUACAUACGUCUAAAUAACAAAUGAAAAGCAGAAAUCAGAUUAGGCUAGAGCAAGGUGAGUGAGGAUUACAUUAAGAAGUUCAAAAAUUAGUCUAAAGCAACCUGGACUUUGAGAUUCAUCUGGCUAGAAGUAACGGUAUUAGCAAAAAUAUUUCCUGUGAUGCUGGUAUCAAACACCAGAUGAUUUCAACACAUUCCUCCUUAAGGUUGGUAAGGUGAAUAACACUGCUGUAGCCAUAAAUAUAACAUCCAUUACUGGAAUCGUGUAAAUCCCUACCUCCAAAAUUUUGCUGUAGUUCCUGUCUUUAAAUGGAAAGAGUUAAAUGGAAUCAAUAUUACAACUGAAAUAUGUGACAAGAAGACAGAAGAGACUGUCAGUGAGAACAUUCCAAAUGCCUUUUUGCAGUAUCAUCAUAGACUUUCACCAACUAACUUAUUAAACAAAAAAUGUCACAUCUGUUACGGUGGUACCAUAAAAAACUGGGCCGGUGUUACUCGUACUUUGGGCUAAUUUGACCCCCACGGCCAUAAUCUCUUCCUGAAAAAUGGUCACAUGGUAUUGGGAUGCAGUAAACUCAAUGCAUAUCUCUAGAGUAGACAUUCGGGAACAUGAGGAACAAAUAAACACUAAAUUUUGAAGAGAGAAACAGUGAUUGCUUAUGGCUGGCACCCUGAAGACCACAGCAACAUGUUUAAGUGGACAAGCCUUCAACUGCGACAUACGUCACAAUAUAGUCAUCCAAGCUCUAAGUGAAACAGUGAAAAGUGGUGUGAAUAUACAAAAGAACCCACAUCAGGGCAGUGAAGGUAGCUCUAACAACCCUAAUACGAGGGUUGGAACUUGAAUACUGGCAACUAUUUUUUACAGCCCAUACAAAAUAGAUCCAUGUUUCAAACUUUUACUGCCCUUCAAAUCAGUCACCAGCAUUGUGUAUAAUCCGUUGCCAGUGAUGUGGAAGUCUUAGGAUACUCAUAGCAUUGCCAGUUGUGUUGACAGUUCGACCAGCACAGUGUAUUGCCUGAUGUAUUUGUAGCAGUAAUG
Molecule: long non-coding RNA, 1589 nt
Organism: Schistocerca gregaria
Lineage: Eukaryota; Metazoa; Arthropoda; Insecta; Orthoptera; Acrididae
Exons: 3
Source: RefSeq, a predicted model, not a curated record